GGUCCGUUGGCUCAAUGGCAGAGCGUCUGGCUUCGAACCAGGAGGUUGCAGGUUCGACCCCUGCACGGAUCG
Podospora conica is the source of this 72-nucleotide non-coding RNA. The record is from the annotation of a GenBank genome assembly. NCBI's taxonomy places the organism in Eukaryota, Fungi, Ascomycota, Sordariomycetes, Sordariales, Podosporaceae.